Eriocheir sinensis (Chinese mitten crab) is the source of this 1458-nucleotide long non-coding RNA. RefSeq lists it as uncharacterized. NCBI's taxonomy places the organism in Eukaryota, Metazoa, Arthropoda, Malacostraca, Decapoda, Varunidae. The record is from RefSeq and is a predicted model, not a curated record. The transcript has 4 exons.
UAUCUCAUUUUACACAUUUACCGACAUACAAGGGGUGUAGGUUAUCUCAUUUAUCACAUUUACCGACUUAUAAGGGGUGUAGGUUAUCUCAUUUAUCACAUUUACUGACAUACAAGGGGUGUAGGUUAUCUCAUUCAUCACAUUUACCGACAUACAAGGGGUGUAGGUUAUCUCAUUCAUCACAUUUACUGACAUACAAGGGGUGUAGGUUAUCUCAUUCAUCACAUUUACUGACAUACAAGGGGUGUAGGUUAUCUCAUUCAUCACAUUUACUGACAUACAAGGGGUGUAGGUUAUCUCAUUCAUCACAUUUACUGACAUACAAGGGGUGUAGGUUAUCUCAUUCAUCACAUUUACUGACAUACAAGGGGUGGAGGUUAUCUCAUUCAUCACAUUUACUGACAUACAAGGGGUGCAGGUUAUCUCAUUCAUCACAUUUACUGACAUACAAGGGUGUAGGUUAUCUCAUUCAUCACAUUUACUGACAUACAAGGGUGUAGGUUAUCUCAUUCAUCACAUUUACUGACAUACAAGGGGUGCAGGUUAUCUCAUUCAUCACAUUUACUGACAUACAAGGGGUGUAGGUUAUCUCAUUCAUCACAUUUACCGACAUACAAGGGGUGUAGGUUAUCUCAUUCAUCACAUUUACUGACAUACAAGGGGUGCAGGUUAUCUCAUUCAUCACAUUUACUGACAUACAAGGGGUGUAGGUUAUCUCAUUCAUCACAUUUACCGACAUACAAGGGGUGCAGGUUAUCUCAUUCAUCACAUUUACCGACAUACAAGGGUGUAGGUUAUCUCAUUCAUCACAUUUACCGACAUACAAGGGGUGUAGGUUAUCUCAUUCAUCACAUUUACCGACAUACAAGGGGUGUAGGUUAUCUCAUUCAUCACAUUUACCGACAUACAAGGUGAACAGGUUAUCUCAUUUAUCACAUUUACCGACAUACCUCAUUUGCCUCAUUUACUGACAUACAAAGGGUGCAGGAAGAAACUUUCAUAUUUCAAGCAAUUUUCAAAUUAAAAACAUACGUCAACAUUUACUUUUAAAAAGAUAAAAAAAAAACUCAGGUGGGACAUAUCGCGAUAGGCAGUCGACAAAGACACGGUACUGUGUCGCAAAUCAUCCACCCUUUGUUUGCAAACAAAUCCCGAGCAUGAGCAGAUUGGAUGGGGUGUCUUAGGAUACGUGGAUGGCAGAUGACACCACACCGGUUAAGACACGUAGCAAUGAGCUUAAGUUGGAUAAGUUCAGGUUCAACAAAGACAUAGGCAAGAAUUGGUUUACCAACAGUGAAGUGGUGGAUGAGUGGAACAGACUUAGAAGUCAUGUGGUGAGCGCCAACACGAUAGAUACAUUCAAGAAGAGGUUAGAUAAGUUCUUGGAUGGGAGGGGUAUAGGACGUUAGUUUGGUGCCGUGGUCUGGGCGGCUUGUUGCGUUGUCUCACGAGACCUCC